UACAGAGGUCCCAAGCGUUGUUCGGAUUCACUGGGCGUAAAGGGUGCGCAGGUGGCUUGGUAAGUUUGAUGUGAAAGCUCAGGGCUCAACCCUGAAAUGGCAUUGAAUACUAUCAGGCUUGAGGUUUGGAGGGGGGACUGGAAUUCUCGGUGUAGCAGUGAAAUGCGUAGAUAUCGAGAGGAACACCAGUGGCGAAGGCGAGUCCCUGGACAACACCUGACACUGAGGCACGAAGGCCAGGGGAGCAAACGGG
This 253-nucleotide ribosomal RNA is filed under the name uncultured bacterium. RNAcentral's name for it is "partial 16S ribosomal RNA". It matches the Rfam family "Bacterial small subunit ribosomal RNA", at positions 524 to 776 of the family's 1533-position model. The record is from RNAcentral.